RNAcentral lists this ribosomal RNA (492 nucleotides) under uncultured bacterium. RNAcentral describes it as "partial 16S ribosomal RNA". It matches the Rfam family "Bacterial small subunit ribosomal RNA", at positions 29 to 507 of the family's 1533-position model. The record is from RNAcentral.
AGUGAACGCUGGCGGUAGGCCUAACACAUGCAAGUCGAACGGCAGCACAGUAAGAGCUUGCUCUUACGGGUGGCGAGUGGCGGACGGGUGAGGAAUACAUCGGAAUCUACUUUUUCGUGGGGGAUAACGUAGGGAAACUUACGCUAAUACCGCAUACGACCUACGGGUGAAAGCAGGGGAUCUUCGGACCUUGCGCGAUUGAAUGAGCCGAUGUCGGAUUAGCUAGUUGGCGGGGUAAAGGCCCACCAAGGCGACGAUCCGUAGCUGGUCUGAGAGGAUGAUCAGCCACACUGGAACUGAGACACGGUCCAGACUCCUACGGGAGGCAGCAGUGGGGAAUAUUGGACAAUGGGCGCAAGCCUGAUCCAGCCAUACCGCGCGGGUGAAGAAGGCCUUCGGGUUGUAAAGCCCUUUUGUUGGGAAAGAAAAGCAGCAGGUUAAUACCCCGCUGUUCUGACGGUACCCAAAGAAUAAGCACCAGCUAACUUCGUG